This 403-nucleotide ribosomal RNA is filed under the name uncultured marine eukaryote. Its description in RNAcentral is "SSU rRNA". It matches the Rfam family "Eukaryotic small subunit ribosomal RNA", at positions 616 to 1021 of the family's 1831-position model. The record is from RNAcentral.
UGGUUAAAAAGCUCGUAGUUGGAUCUCAACAGCCCUGAAGCGGUUAACUUUGUAGUUUUACUGCUUUAUAGGCUGUGCUUUUGCUGGAGGUUUAGGGGUGCUCUUGAUCGAGUGUCUCUGGAUGCCAGCAGGUUUACUUUGAAAAAAUUAGAGUGCUCAAAGCAGGCUAAAAUGCCUGAAUAUUCGUGCAUGGAAUAAUAGAAUAGGAUGUCGAUCCUAUUUUGUUGGUUUUCGGGACUCGACAUAAUGAUAAAUAGGGACAGUCGGGGGCAUUUGUAUUCAAACGACAGAGGUGAAAUUCUUGGACCGUUUGAAGACAAACUACUGCGAAAGCAUUUGCCAAGAAUGUUUUCAUUAAUCAAGAACGAAAGUUAGAGGUUCGAAGGCGAUUAGAUACCGCCCU